RNAcentral lists this long non-coding RNA (286 nucleotides) under Gallus gallus (chicken). The record is from RNAcentral. Lineage: Eukaryota; Metazoa; Chordata; Aves; Galliformes; Phasianidae.
CUUGAAACUACCAAAAUUUUCUAGAUCCUUCUAGACAGUAGGAUCUCUUCUAUUAUUCUCUUCUGUUUCUUUUUGCUAAUGCAGGCUUUUAUGUUUCAGCAAAGAAAGCCAUAAUGAACAAGUUCAACUCAGAGCUCAAUUCCUGAAGAGUAGACUGGAUUUGAGAUCUUCAUAGAAUCAUAGAAUGGCCUGGGUUGAAAAGGACCACAAUGAUCAUUGAGUUUCAACCCCCCUGCUAUGUGCAGGGUCACCAGCCACCAGACCAGGCUGCCCAGAGCCACAUCCA